AUGGACUGGCUGGAAUAUCACAGCCCUAUGCUCAUUGACUGGCCAAGGCGUCGCAUGCAAAUUGAGCAUGAAGGUUUUACGGUCAUCCUGCAAGGAAUCACCUCCUCGGUCAGCAAGUGUGAUACAUUGAACAACAUUCAGCUUGUGAGCAUGGAAAAACAAUCAGUAGUCGCCUAUGCAGUCCACCUCUGUUAUGCCCAGGAUUCGGAGAACAUCACUGACAUUCCAACUUUGGAUUACGGUCCUUUGAUUUGCUGGAAAAUAGUGAAAUGCUAUUGGUCCCAUUACGAAUUAUCCGUGCCAAUGUCGAUAUUGCCCUCGGACCUCCAAUAUAUAAGGGCCCUCACUCUAGCUGAAUGGCAGAGCCACCAACCCACCACACACCACAGGAGUUCUCUUCUCCCGUACGAUUGUGAGGCCAAGGAGAUGGAGGCGAAGAAGAGAGCGGCCGCUGUUGCCACCCUGUGCAUGCUCCUCCUCCUCAUGCUCCUCCUCCUUACAUUGAUAGAAUAUGUUUUCUUUUCACAAAGGGAAAAGGAAUCAUCUGUUCUGAUGAUCUUGGCCCUUUUUGCAGAUGCUGAGGCUUGUAAGCAUUGGUGCUUGGGCGCCAACUAA
RNAcentral lists this ribosomal RNA (615 nucleotides) under Triticum aestivum (bread wheat). RNAcentral's name for it is "partial small subunit ribosomal RNA". Lineage: Eukaryota; Viridiplantae; Streptophyta; Magnoliopsida; Poales; Poaceae. The record is from RNAcentral.